Molecule: ribosomal RNA, 408 nt
Filed under: bacterium enrichment culture clone ALO1_GLFRUDD03FNKG8
Lineage: Bacteria
Description: bacterial SSU rRNA
Rfam family: Bacterial small subunit ribosomal RNA
Source: RNAcentral
GAGUUUGAUCUUGGCUCAGAUUGAACGCUGGCGGCAUGCCUUACACAUGCAAGUCGAACGGCAGCACGGGAGCUUGCUCCUGGUGGCGAGUGGCGAACGGGUGAGUAAUGCAUCGGAACGUAUCCUGGAGUGGGGGGAUAACGUAGCGGAAGUUACGCUAAUACCGCAUAUUCUGUGAGCAGGAAAGCGGGGGACCUUCGGGCCUCGCGCUCUUGGAGCGGCCGAUGUCGGAUUAGCUAGUUGGUGAGGUAAAGGCUCACCAAGGCGACGAUCCGUAGCAGGUCUGAGAGGAUGAUCUGCCACACUGGAACUGAGACACGGUCCAGACUCCUACGGGAGGCAGCAGUGGGGAAUUUUGGACAAUGGGGGCAACCCUGAUCCAGCCAUGCCGCGUGAGUGAAGAAGGCC